RNAcentral lists this ribosomal RNA (254 nucleotides) under uncultured bacterium. RNAcentral's name for it is "partial 16S ribosomal RNA". It matches the Rfam family "Bacterial small subunit ribosomal RNA", at positions 524 to 776 of the family's 1533-position model. The record is from RNAcentral.
CACGUAGGCACCAAGCGUUGUCCGGAUUUAUUGGGCGUAAAGAGCUCGUAGGCGGUUCGGUAAGUCGGGUGUGAAAACUCUGGGCUCAACCCAGAGCCGCCACCCGAUACUGCUGUGACUCGAGUGCGGUAGAGGAGUGUGGAAUUCCUGGUGGAGCGGUGAAAUGCGCAGAGAUCAGGAGGAACACCCGUAGCGAAGGCGGCACUCUGGGCCGAUACUGACACUGAGGAGCGAAAGCGUGGGGAGCGAACAGG